RNAcentral lists this long non-coding RNA (301 nucleotides) under Fukomys damarensis (Damara mole-rat). Its description in RNAcentral is "lncRNA (ENSFDAG00000021785.1)". The record is from RNAcentral. Lineage: Eukaryota; Metazoa; Chordata; Mammalia; Rodentia; Bathyergidae.
GCUGUAUGAAUUUGCUUUACUGGAAUCCCAAAGGGCCUUGUGAGAAACCGGAUCAAGGUGCCAGAGGUCUUCACUACGGAGAAAAGAGAUUUAUUACUAAUGGGUGUUAUGAAGAAGUGACAUGACUUGAAAUUAUUUCAAAAGCUACCUAUGUUAAAUGAAACCACUUUUCCCCUGUUGUCCUACCACCUAAUGUAAAACCCGUUUUACCCACGAAAUGUACCUGCAAGAAGUCAACAGUCUUUUAGAUGGAGGCAAUGGAAGCAGGGAGACGGGUAGAAUGCUGAGAAAUCUGGACACC